GACGAGGGGGAGGAGCCUGGUGUGGACCAGCGCUGUGACCUUGGGCCCUGUCUCAGGGCUCAGUUUCCUUGGCUGCACCAGGAAUGGUGUUUGUGUUGGCAUUUGUGGUCCCUGUGUCAACUGCCAACUGCCACGGCAUGUGACACUGUCAGGGGACUGUAGGUGUGAGGAAGGACUCAGCUGGAGGGCUCGUGCCACCUCACCUCCAGGAAAGCACACCUGUUGGGAGAGCCAAAGUCACUGGGAACCUUCAGUGCAGUGGAGGAGCCCGGGCCAUGUGUUUACAGCUCUUCGUGUCUCUGCGGUCUGGGGAGGCGCCUGGCAGAGGUGAAACGGACGUGGACAGCCAGGCCUCCAUGCCCCGCUCACUUGGCCCUAAGCUUCCAGAAGACUUUCGGUGGAGCAAGGGGGGCACAGAAGCCUCCUGUCCUCUGUCACUCACUGCCCCAUGGCCACUGUGACUGGCAUGUCCUUGGUGUGCGGUGUACGGGUCCUUGGCAAGGUGGCCCGAGACAGCCACUCUGAGCAGGAGUCUUUGCCAGGGGCAGGGAAACAGCCAGGAGCAGCAGGUGCCAUUACCAGAGUCUGAGGUUUGCACUCAACUCCACCACAUUCACCUUUGGAGUCUGCUUUGGGCCGCUCUUGCUGCAGGGCUGAAGUUGGGGCUGGGAGCAUGGAAAAGAAUAAACUGAGUCUCGGUUCUGCUGCCUGCCUUGCAAGUGGAAGGACCCGAGUUCAAUCCCUGG
RNAcentral lists this long non-coding RNA (746 nucleotides) under Heterocephalus glaber (naked mole-rat). RNAcentral describes it as "lncRNA (ENSHGLG00100049055.1)". The record is from RNAcentral. Lineage: Eukaryota; Metazoa; Chordata; Mammalia; Rodentia; Bathyergidae.